UUCACUUGUCAUUAAAGUGAUGCUGGAUGAACUAAGAUUAUUUUCUUUACACUUCCCUCCAUUGUUGUGAUCAGAAGUUUGGGAUGAAAUAUAUUCUGGCAUAUUACUCAAUUCCCUGGUAGUAGAAUCGAGCAUGUUCACCAUUUCACUAAUUUCAGACUCGUCCCUAGCACACACUAAUACAUUUUCCUGACUUCCUAAUUCUGAACUUCUGUUGUGCGGUUCAUCAGCUUGCUCGGAUAUUUCAAGGUGCCUCGUAUCAUCUUUCUCCUCUGUGAAGAUCAUAGAGACAGUUUGAUUAUUAAGAUAAGCGUAACUAGCUUCACCAAGUUCCUCAUAAGAACUUCUGGAAUCUUUAUCAAGUUCACUGCUUUCUGCAAAUUCAGCAGGGUGGUUGCAAAUACCCAGUUCUUGCCCGGUUGGGCCACAAUCACUAACUUCUGCAGUUAACUUUUCCUCAUUAACGGUAGAUCCAUCAGCAACAACAGAAUUCACAUAAUUGCUUACUUCUAGCUUUUCUU
This 521-nucleotide long non-coding RNA is filed under the name Daucus carota (carrot). RNAcentral describes it as "long non-coding RNA (DCAR_LNC006944)". The record is from RNAcentral. Lineage: Eukaryota; Viridiplantae; Streptophyta; Magnoliopsida; Apiales; Apiaceae.